Molecule: long non-coding RNA, 1115 nt
Organism: Quercus lobata
Lineage: Eukaryota; Viridiplantae; Streptophyta; Magnoliopsida; Fagales; Fagaceae
Exons: 7
Source: RefSeq, a predicted model, not a curated record
UUUUCACUUCAGACUCUCAGUCUCAGAGUUCAGAUGGUCUUGGCUUCCCUUUCAUGCUUCCUCCUCUUUUCACUCUUCGUCACCUCUUCACUUCUUUAGUCUCAGUUCUCUACUUGGCUCUCUCAAACUCUCACUGUCUCACUUCUCUAUUUAGUAUUUUGGUUCGCUCUUCAACACUCACUAAAUAGUUUCCCCAAAUCCAAACCCUAGCCACCUCCAAUGCCAUAGCCCACUCCCCUCUCCGCCUCCAAUGCCUAGCCAUCGCCGCCACUGUCCACUCCUCUCUCUGUAGCUACCACUGGUGUUUAGUCCUCACCUUGCUGUUGUGUACUCUUCACUAAGUCAGUUCAUACUCCAAACGCUUAGGAUUGAGACUCCAAGUAGCAUUUUCUGCCUUCAAGUUUGAAACCCAUACAGCCAUGGUUUUCUUUAAGGAUUGAAAGCUGACUCCAAGUAGCAUUUUCUGCCUUCAAGUUUGAAACCCAUACACCCACGGUUUUCUUUAAGGACUGACUUGAAGAAUUUAGAUCAUUUUCCAUUUCUGAUGUUGGACGAAUUUUCAGUUCAUGGGAACCUCCACUAAUGAACCCUCUGUCCAAACACCAAUUGCUACACAAGAUGAUGGUGCUAUUCCCACCCAAGUUGAAGCUUCUACUACUACCCAAGUUAAAGCAGCUGCUGUUGCUGAGUUGCCCACAGUUCCACCAUGCCAAUUUUAAAUCAACAACCAACAGCAAGUGCAACAGCAAAUACCAGCUUAAGCAAGGGUUCCACUUCAAGCAAACGACCCUUAAUUAGCAUUGAUGAUUAAUCACUAACUUGGAGGAUGGUCAUUUAUUUUGUAAAGAAGGCAGCUUUGUGGGAAUAUUUUGGAAGCUUUUUUGGAUAUAUUGCUUUUCUAACUUCUAGCAAUACUCAUCUGCCAAUGCAUAUAGAAAAGAAAUCUUAGUUCAUAGGUUUUCUUUUCUAUUAGUUAUAGACUUAUAAACUAUAGAGUAGUCAUUCAAUGCUUUGGGAAAGCUAUUUUUUAAAAAUACUUAUGGUAUUUGAUUAUUGUAACUAAUUAUAUUGCUUGGAACAUUUUAUAACUAGCAAGCUUUUUGCCUUAUGGUUUA